GUAAUACAUAAGUAACCUGCCCUAGACAGGGGGAUAACUAUUGGAAACGAUAGCUAAGACCGCAUAGGUACGGACACUGCAUGGUGACCGUAUCAAAAGUGCCUCAAAGCACUGGUAGAGGAUGGACUUAUGGCGCAUUAGCUGGUUGGCGGGGUAACGGCCCACCAAGGCGACGAUGCGUAGCCGACCUGAGAGGGUGACCGGCCACACUGGGACUGAGACACGGCCCAGACUCCUACGGGAGGCAGCAUG
Molecule: ribosomal RNA, 252 nt
Filed under: uncultured bacterium
Lineage: Bacteria
Description: partial 16S ribosomal RNA
Rfam family: Bacterial small subunit ribosomal RNA
Source: RNAcentral